CAGUAGCCGCGGUAAUACGUAGGUGGCAAGCGUUGUCCGGAAUUAUUGGGCGUAAAGGGCUCGCAGGCGGUUUCUUAAGUCUGAUGUGAAAGCCCCCGGCUCAACCGGGGAGGGUCAUUGGAAACUGGGAAACUUGAGUGCAGAAGAGGAGAGUGGAAUUCCACGUGUAGCGGUGAAAUGCGUAGAGAUGUGGAGGAACACCAGUGGCGAAGGCGACUCUCUGGUCUGUAACUGACGCUGAGGAGCGGAAGCGUGGGGAGUGAACAGGAUUAGAUACCCGCGUAGUCCCUGUCUCUUAUAA
Molecule: ribosomal RNA, 301 nt
Filed under: uncultured bacterium
Lineage: Bacteria
Description: partial 16S ribosomal RNA
Rfam family: Bacterial small subunit ribosomal RNA
Source: RNAcentral